Rosa chinensis is the source of this 656-nucleotide long non-coding RNA. RefSeq lists it as uncharacterized. Lineage: Eukaryota; Viridiplantae; Streptophyta; Magnoliopsida; Rosales; Rosaceae. The record is from RefSeq and is a predicted model, not a curated record. The transcript has 7 exons.
ACUCCAGCAAAAUAUCAAGCGGUUACCAACCCAUCAAAGAGUCAGAGAUCUCAGCUUCAACAAAUUGGAAGGAAGUAUUCCUGAUCUUGAAGAUCUUACUCUGAACAGAUUGCAGUACUUGAUACUAGUCCUUCCACGAGAUCCUUAGCUUUAAGCUGUUACAAUGAAGGGGAAGUGUAGGUUCACCAUAUGCCGAUGGAAGCAAUGGCUAGAGACUAAAUUGUAAUAGAUGGGCAAUUGGGGCUGGCUUUUCCAAUUGGUAUUUUUUGGAUGUUACUUUAAUGUAUUUAAAGUUAGUGCAAGAGAAUGAUAACUAUGCUGCAAUGAGACAAAAGCCCAAAGAUUCUGCAAAGUGGAAGCAUAGCAAGAGCUUAAGUUGCCUUGGGUCAAACUGAGGUCUGCUAUGCUUUAUAGAAUGCAUUGGGUUAUCAGUCUUCCAUCCAUAACACUACUGUCAACGUACACAAAUGAAACUGCAAUUCCUAAGGUUCUUAUUUUGGCAAGGACAAAUCAUUGGAGUUCAAUCUAUUCAAGGUUGAUAGAGCAUACCUAAUGAGAAAAUUAGCAUUAUAGUAACGUUACUUUUUUAAUUUCAUUUUGCAGUUGAUUCUCCUUAGAUCGGAUCUUAAUUUGUAUACAUACCAUACCAUACUGGU